This is a long non-coding RNA of Chroicocephalus ridibundus (black-headed gull), 3062 nucleotides long. RefSeq lists it as uncharacterized. NCBI's taxonomy places the organism in Eukaryota, Metazoa, Chordata, Aves, Charadriiformes, Laridae. The transcript is spliced from 5 exons. The record is from RefSeq and is a predicted model, not a curated record.
CCACUUUAAUAAAACUAUUCAUUAAACAGGUGCAAUUCCCUUCUGGAAGAAUGCCCUGGUUUUGGUUGGAGUGGUUUACUCGGGGAGUUUUAGCUUAUGGUAAUCAGGAGCCAUUUUAAACUAAACCUUGCUUUGAACCUGGGUGUGCUAUUUCAGUUUAGUAGCAAUUUGAGUCAAAAUAGUGGAAUUGCUCAUGAGGACAUGUCCUCUGUGGUGGUGGGCACCAUUCGACUGCGGGCUCAGAGGAAGACGGUGGUAGAUCAGCGCGUUGCUUACGUCACUUCUCUCUCCGGCUUGAAUUUCUUCGCAGCAUCAGGUGGAGCCUUUUCUGCAGCAGGUUCCUUUGCUAGCGCUGCAGUGGGCGAGUCCUUGCUACUUUUCUUGUUCGGGCUUCUUUCCCCUGCCCUACGUGUAGCUAAAUGUGGUCUAAUAAACUUUUUAAAUCCUUUUUGAAAUAAUUAAAUGAUUGCAAAGUCCUGACCUGCACAUAGACCAAGUUGGAAGGAGUGCAGGUUUUGUGGAAGAGCUUUUUCAGGCACGGGAUUGUACUUUGACGGAUUAAAGCAAGGAGCAACGCUGUCUGCAUGGAACCUGCCGAGUGCCAGAGCCGUCCCUCUCAUCAGAUUCGCCCACCUUGGGUGUGUUGUCUUCCCGUUGGGGACAAGCACGUGUGCGUGGACCCCCUGGAUCUGCACAGGGCAGGGACGACUUCUAGGCUGAGCCUGGGGACCCACUGGGAAAGGUGAGAGGGACCCACAGGAAGAUGCACUGCACAGCUCCGGGUGCAGGUUAAUACCUUUCCUCGGGACUCGACUGCAGCGUGUUGGGUGAGGAGGAGGAAGGUGCUGCCCGGAGCAGGCUGUCGGUGCUGAGGAGCUCCUCCGAGCUCCUGGUGUUUCCCUUAGGGCCUCCUCCAGUCCAGAGCAAGUGGAAAAAAAAAGUUAAAAUCAAGAUGACACCUGUGGAACGCUGAUGCCGAUCUGCCGUACUAAUUGGACCUGUUUGUUUCUGCCUCUCUCAUCCUCUGUGAGGAGUCGGAGCGAACCCUCAGGGAGCUUCUGCAGAUCAUCCCCGGGGGGUUUGAACACGUCUACCUCAGAAAUAUUCCGUUCCAGAAAUAUUAAAAUCAUGCGUAUGGCUGCACACUGAAUGACAUUCUGCUCCGCAGGGAGCCAUGCCAAAGCUCCAGCUUGUGGCUUCAUCCUGCACUUGCUGGUGCAGGGGUGGCUGUGCAGGUCCUUGGGCAGGGGCUCAGCGGCACCGAGAGGCUUUUCUUUCCCCGCGGAUGGAGGUGAGCAGGUACGGGUGAGGGUCAGGCGUGUUUGUGUUGCAAGAUGUGGUGGAUCUGCAGCUCUGGGUCCUGUUGGUUGUUGGUUUCUUAGCAAUGGUCCUCCCAUCUUGCUCUGCUUUGACGUCCCUCCCUUGUCUCUCCUCCGUCAUCUCCCAAGGUGUUUUUGCCUUUCUGCUGGGAAUCAAAAUGUCUGUGUCUCACGCCCAAAUCCAUGUUGUUUGCUGGUAUGAAGUGCCGGGGCACCAGAUGCAUCAGGAGGCUAUAAGGGGGUCUUGGUGGGGUUGUGGAAAAGCUUGUGUAGAUCCAGCUCUGUCCCAGAGGUCAUGGUGGCCACAUGGCAGCUGGGGAGACCCCCCAGCACAAACCCAAGUCAAAUGGGGCUCCAGGGGAUGGAGGAGCACGGCACCGCUCACCCUGCCUGCUUCUUGUGGCUCACCGAAAGCUGGCACCGCUUCUCUGAAGGUAACUCCUCAGCAUGUCCUCCCCAGCCCCUAAAAAUAUCCCACGGGUAAUAUCUGCAGGGCCCACGGUGGGUUUUUUUAAUCAUUUGCAUUUCUUUGUCAUUUGCAUUGUAUUUCUGGCUGUGUGAUUCAGCGAGCUGCCGUAUGCCUCGACUGUCAUCUCCAGCCAGUCUGUAGGAAGGAUCUGCGCCUCACCCCCGAGGCAAAUGCUCUGCCAGCUUCAGUCCAUUGUAGUGUUUUGGAGGAAGGGAAGAUGGAUGUGUAUGAUACUGAAAUUUCACCAUCUUUUCCUCCCCCACGUUUUAGGAGAAUACAUAUAAAUCUCUGCCAUGUCCUCUUCUGUUUGUUAAAUGUAGCAGUAUGGAAAAUGUUAUUUCAGCUUUAUCUAUUUUAAAAUUAUUGUAUGGAUUAACAAACCAAGCAGAAGGUCUGUGUUGCUGUUUAACUUGGUGUUACUAUGUCCUUUUGGAAGACUUGUGGCUGCAAGUCAGCAGUGAGCACUCAUUUGUAUUUCUGCUUCCCCAGAUACUGAAAGUAGCGCUGGAGCUGCCAGUGUGUCCUGUUUGGAAUAACAGCUUGGUGGGGUCUGGAACAUAGUGGAGAUGCCUUCAAAAAAUCUGGCCUUGUUGAGGUGUCUUGAUACGAUUGUGCCGUGAUGAGUUGUGUUAGAAAAAGCCAUGGCCGGAUUUUGUUAAGAGAAGUCCCUUUGGUGCCUGGCAGAAAUGAGUUAGGUUGCCGUAAGGGACUGAAUUAACAAUAGGAGCCACAAGUGCACGUUUCCACUGGAUUGCGUUGUCCAUCCCUCGUUGGUGUCUGGGUUUGGCGAAGGAAAGUGAAGGAGGUUGCUCGGGUCCCAUCCUGGUGCUGCCGUGAGGGUGAGGAGCAGCUGAAUCCCCACUGGGAGCUCGUGAGCAAAACCAGACCCAAAGCAUUUGAGAUGGGUGAAAUGAACUGCACAGUGAAGGUCUCACAGCUCCCCUUACCCACCCCCCAUCUUUAAAAGUGGGAUGUCUACUUAUUUUAAUGGUCAGUCCUGGAAAUGCAGAAACUCAAGCGGAGCCUGGGAGCUCUGCGGUUCCUGGGCCAUGGAGCUGGGAGCCGUUGGCGUUGGUGCUGCCUCCUCCAGGCAUCUGCACAGACCAGAGCCAUCCCACCUUCCUUCUCCUGAGGCUUAACACAUAGACAGACACCUCCUCAGCCUUCAACAGCGCAUUUAUUGCCCUACAAAAGAAAAAACAAAUAUUUGGAAUGAGCCUGGCUUGUUCGCUGUCCACAGAAAUACCAGCGCGCCAUCCCCAUCGGUGCCGUGG